This 478-nucleotide ribosomal RNA is filed under the name uncultured bacterium. Its description in RNAcentral is "partial 16S ribosomal RNA". It matches the Rfam family "Bacterial small subunit ribosomal RNA", at positions 28 to 523 of the family's 1533-position model. The record is from RNAcentral.
GACGAACGCUGGCGGCGUGCUUAACACAUGCAAGUCAAACGGUAAGGCCCUUCGGGGUACACGAGUGGCGAACGGGUGAGUAACACGUGGGUGAUCUGCCCUGCACUUCGGGAUAAGCCUGGGAAACUGGGUCUAAUACCGGAUAGGACCACUGCCUGCAUGGGGGGUGGUGGAAAGCUUUUGCGGUGUGGGAUGGGCCCGCGGCCUAUCAGCUUGUUGGUGGGGUGAUGGCCUACCAAGGCGACGACGGGUAGCCGGCCUGAGAGGGUGACCGGCCACACUGGGGCUGAGAUACGGCCCAGACUCCUACGGGAGGCAGCAGUGGGGAAUAUUGCACAAUGGGCGCAAGCCUGAUGCAGCGACGCCGCGUGAGGGAUGACGGCCUUCGGGUUGUAAACCUCUUUCAGCACCGACGAAGCGCAAGUGACGGUAGGUGCAGAAGAAGGACCGGCCAACUACGUGCCAGCAGCCGCAGUAA